Molecule: ribosomal RNA, 465 nt
Filed under: uncultured bacterium
Lineage: Bacteria
Description: partial 16S ribosomal RNA
Rfam family: Bacterial small subunit ribosomal RNA
Source: RNAcentral
GAUGAACGCUGGCGGCGUGCUUAACACAUGCAAGUCGAACGAUGAAGCCCAGCUUGCUGGGUGGAUUAGUGGCGAACGGGUGAGUAACACGUGAGUAACCUGCCCUUAACUCUGGGAUAAGCCUGGGAAACUGGGUCUAAUACCGGAUAGGAGCGUCCACCGCAUGGUGGGUGUUGGAAAGAUUUAUCGGUUUUGGAUGGACUCGCGGCCUAUCAGCUUGUUGGUGAGGUAAUGGCUCACCAAGGCGACGACGGGUAGCCGGCCUGAGAGGGUGACCGGCCACACUGGGACUGAGACACGGCCCAGACUCCUACGGGAGGAAGCAGUGGGGAAUAUUGCACAAUGGGCGCAAGCAUGAUGCAGCGACGCCGCGUGGGGGAUGACGGCCUUCGGGUUGUAAACCUCUUUCAGUAGGGAAGAAGCGAAAGUGACGGUACCUGCAGAAGAAGCACCGGCUAACUACGU